RNAcentral lists this ribosomal RNA (504 nucleotides) under uncultured bacterium. RNAcentral's name for it is "bacterial SSU rRNA". It matches the Rfam family "Bacterial small subunit ribosomal RNA", at positions 8 to 518 of the family's 1533-position model. The record is from RNAcentral.
AGAGUUGAUCAUGGCUCAGGACGAACGCUGGCGGCGUGCCUAACACAUGCAAGUCGAGCGGAGACAGACGGAAAGCUUGCUUUCUGUCUGUUCAGCGGCGGACGGGUGAGUAACGCGUGAGCAACCUGCCUUUAACAGGGGAAUAACGCAUCGAAAGAUGUGCUAAUACCGCAUAAGACCACAGCAUCACAUGGUGCAGGGGUCAAAGGAGCAAUCCGGUUAAAGAUGGGCUCGCGUCCGAUUAGCUGGUUGGUGAGACAACAGCCCACCAAGGCGACGAUCGGUAGCCGACCUGAGAGGGUGAUCGGCCACAUUGGAACUGAGAUACGGUCCAGACUCCUACGGGAGGCAGCAGUGGGGAAUAUUGGGCAAUGGGCGAAAGCCUGACCCAGCAACGCCGCGUGAGGGAAGAAGGGUUUCGGCUCGUAAACCUCUGUCCUAUGGGACGAAGGAAGUGACGGUACCAUAGGAGGAAGCCCCGGCUAACUACGUGCCAGCAGCUGC